This 314-nucleotide unclassified non-coding RNA is filed under the name plant metagenome. RNAcentral describes it as "partial contains 5.8S ribosomal RNA, internal transcribed spacer 2, and large subunit ribosomal RNA". The stretch from base 1 to 105 matches the Rfam family "5.8S ribosomal RNA", at positions 50 to 154 of the family's 154-position model. The record is from RNAcentral.
GAAAUGCGAUAAUUAAUGUGAAUUGCAGAAUUCAGGGAAUCAUCGAGUCUUUGAACGCACAUUGCGCCCCCUGGUAUUCCGGGGGGCAUGCCUGUCCGAGCGUCAUUGCUGCCCUCAAGCACGGCUUGUGUGUUGGGCUUCCGUCCCUGGCAACGGGGACGGGCCCAAAAGGCAGUGGCGGCACCAUGUCUGGUCCUCGAGCGUAUGGGGCUUUGUCACCCGCUCCCGUAGGUCCAGCUGGCAGCUAGCCUCGCAACCAAUCUUUUUAACCAGGUUGACCUCGGAUCAGGUAGGGAUACCCGCUGAACUUAAGC